UUUAUGUUUCUUCUUGUACUUUCAUCGAGCUUGUUCUUGGCAAGCUUCUUUCUCUCCUUUUCAUUUUGACGGGAGUGAUGGACGGAAGAGAGCGUCCUUCAGUCCACUCACAGGCGGUGCUAGGAUCGAAUUAGCUGCCGACUCAUUCGUCCACUUGCCGAGCAAAGUUAUUUGCCGAGGAGCUUAGCAGGUGAGUGAAUGAAGCGGGAGGUAAAGUCUUUGAUCUCGCACCGUCGUUGCUUGGACUGAAGGGUGCUCCCUCCUCCUCUCUAAGCCAUGUUAUGUAGCACGGCACCUGCUUGAUCUGCUCGUUUCUUCGGGCGCCAUACCGCCUGAUCGAUCUGAUCUGUUCUUUUCGAGCUUCUCCGGCAUGAAAUGAUAGAACCUGUGUCGCUCUGGUGUGCUUGCAGUUCUAGUUUGGCUCUUCUUUAAUUUAGUCCGGUAAUGGAUGUCGAGGCUCAAUUUUUCUACUUGUUUAACCAGGCCUUUGUACUAAAAAUCCUUGAUCUGCUCACAGAAGCCUUGUUUUUCUGAAAGCGCAUCUGCUUUGGGUACCUGCGAUGACAUCCUAGAUGCAUGGUACAGCUCUCGUUCUCGUAGCUAGAAUGCUAGAUACGGGCUCGAUCUCCAUCCUGUGUGCGUUUUCUCUACUUUUUUGCACUCCGUGAUGUGAUCUGUCGACGCACUGUUGCAGGCUGGGACAAAACGAAAUUGCUCCAUGGACGACAUGUGCUGGCCGACCUGCGGACGAUCAAACAAUCCAGCGGCCCUUGCAAAGUCAAUCAUACGCAUGUGUGGCUGAUUUAACCUGUCGUCUUAGAAUCGUCUGAAAAAAUCGUGUGUAUAGCAAGAGUCGGGACAAAAUACGGUGCUUUGCUUGCUUUUGCUGGUGUGGGGGAUCGAUCGAUCACAUCGCGCGUCUUUGGGGUCGUGCAAACAGUGAGACGUCUUUCGAUCUCCCUGUUUGCUUUGGAACUUGGCACGCAACCAGGAUGAUUGGACUGGACGUGUGCGUGGCCCUGGUGCUAUGCUAUGCUAGGCUAGCUUUCGGAGCAUGGUCACCACAUGGAUUCGGUCGAGUUCCCCAAACGUUUUUAUCAUCUCCCCGAGGGCUCUUAGGGGCCUAAGUACCCUAUUAAUCUUAGAUUUGUGGUGUACAGUGGAGUAGUUUAUAACCCACUUAUGUUUUUGCAUCUGGAUAUUCUCCCCCCUCGCAUGGAAAUAUGUGAGCAUGCAUGUCGGCUUGUGAUGUGAUUUUAUCAAGUCAGGAUAUGAACAACGUUGUACUCUUUGUAAGCAUGUUGUCAUUAUUUUCACCGAAAUAGUUAUGAAAAAAAUCCUAAUUAGUAUGAUUUCUGGAGAUGCAUCCGGUAGAGUGCUUGUUUACUAGACCUCUCAUUAUUUUACAGAAGUCCUAACAAUAUUAGGUCUUGUUUUGUGCUGCUAGCUAGCUGUUGGUAGAAUUAUUUUACAGUAGUAUGCAUGGUCUGUGUUGGCUUCAUGAGUACAAUUGUUCAUGAUGACUUGAUUGGUGCAAUAAUCUGUCAUACCUAUAUAUAUGUAUUAGUACACACUUUGAAGCAAUUUCGUCCUCUUCAGUUUUCCUAUCUUGUUCAUCUGCAGUCUACAUAUUCAGUUCCAAUUAUUCUCUCAACCUCUUGACAUUUGCCUUCUUGUGAUGGCUAUUAAUUUCUGUACCAAACAGCUUAACAAAUACAGUGACCAGAAAUAUGAUGCCAUGGACAUGAUUAGGAGCUAUGUGCAUUGUUGAGCAGUACUCCACUAUAUAAUGCUUUAUCAUCAACCACACUGCACACGUACGAUGGCUGCUCGCAGAUCUUGUUUGUGAUGAUAGCAAGCGUGCAUGGACUCUCCUUGAAUUGCUGGAUGUUAUUGGUGGGGCUGGGGGUUACUGCGCAGGCCGGCCCGCUAUGUCGGUCAAAGCUGUGGGAGGCACUGUCUAGCCUUUUCACUGCAGAUUAAUGUUCUGUUCUUGACUGCCUCCUUUUGUACUCCCAUGUCCUCCUUUUCAUCGCCAAUUAAUGGUCCGUGAUCCUGAAGAAAGGCGGUGAAUUAGUGAUGGGGUUGCAGACAUGUGCUGCUGCUUCGGGACAUAGCUAGGAAUUAAUGUUGGAGCCAGGCAUAUUUUGCAAAUGCAACGGUACUGCCAGCGCAUGUAGAUGUAGUACUGAUUGUUGCUUACGAAUCUAGUGCGAUGUGUGUGGCUCCUGUGUGUUGUUGAGUGUUAAUUUGCAGCCAAUGUACCCCUAUGUGGUUCUUCAUCGUGUUUUGCAAUUGUGAUUGUCACGCACUCUUGCUAAAUGGCAAACUGGUACUGUAUUAUUUUUCAUUUUCACUUCAAUAUGGAUUCACCAAUAAGUAGAUUAAUUGGCAACCACUGAGUCUCUACUGGUGCUUUUUAUUGUUCACAUAACAUACAUACAUGUGCUUCACUGGGUCUCUACUGUGGUGCACUGGUCAUGCAAUUUUGAAAGAUUGUCUUGAUCAGUAAUUUUAUGAUAUCUUGAUAAAUGUUUUUAAUGACGUACGGUAGGUUCCAGGUUUGCUUUUUCUGGCAAUAGUUACCUAGUGUGCUACUAGCAAGUUAUC
Molecule: long non-coding RNA, 2610 nt
Filed under: Triticum aestivum (bread wheat)
Lineage: Eukaryota; Viridiplantae; Streptophyta; Magnoliopsida; Poales; Poaceae
Description: long non-coding RNA (TAES_LNC025340)
Rfam family: MIR159 microRNA precursor family (bases 78-272)
Source: RNAcentral